CUGUUGAUUUAAAGCAGAGUCUGUCGUGGCCAGCGGAAGGAUGAAGAAUACGUGCUGCAUACUCCUUAUUGCUUUAUUUACAGUUCAAAGCUGGUAUAUUACAGAAAGACAUCUUGCCUCUGCAGGAGCAGAGAAAUGCAUCCUCUCUCCUCUCUCAGCUCGGAGAGAAUCACACAGUGAAAAAACAGGAAACCAGUGUACGUCACAUCCAGUCUCCCUUUCCCGUGAGAAACUCCAACAGUACAGACUGUGGAAUGCAAAACAAUGUCUUGUGACUGCAGUUGCUGCUCAGUGAGGAAAUAGAAACCAACAUCCUCCCCUUUCUGUGAACAUCACUGGGCAGCGUGUUCGUACAAUAUCAGUACAAACCCAACUUCUGCACAUAGGUACAGUGUUGAUCCCUUGAUACAAUCUUGGACAAUACAUCAGCAGGAAUUUCAUUACCUGGCAUAUAGGACACCGUUACGAGUCCCUUCUGAAUACAUUCCCUAGCAUGCUGCAACUUUAAUUGCAAGUGCUUUGUGCUUUGCUUACAACCUUCAGACUUCAGCAAAGCCAAACAUGCUUUGUUGUCCUGGUAAACCUGGAUUGGACAUUUGACAGGAAUUUUCAUAUCUUUGCACAACUGUACUAACCAUUCACAAUCCUUAAGUGAAUAAGACAGUGCAUUCAGUUCGGCUUCACAAGUACUUAAGCUAACUGUUGUUUGCUUCUUGCAUGACCAAUCAAACAGACUCUGAUUGUACAUGUAGCAAACUCCAGACGUACUUUUCCUGUCUGUAGCGUCACUUCCAAAACUUGCAUCUGCAAAUAUCUCAAGACCACCAGACUUCUGAUUGUUAAAUCUCAGUCUGUAAUGCAUAGUGCCUUUCAAAUACCGCGCUAUGCGUUUCAGAGCUUUCCAAUCCUUGACACUAGGAUUGUUGACUUGUCUGCUUAGCAAAUUACAGCUAACAGCAAUGUCUGGUCUUGAACAUCUGGCAAUGAAGUUUAGCUUGCCUAGCACACUCCUGUACAGUGUAGUGUCAGAAAAUGCUUCUUCAGUGUCAUCUACCUGAUAACCUGUUGUCAUCGGUGUGUCUACAGGGUUAGCAUCCAUCAGAUUUAGUUUGCUUAACACAUCAGCAAUUUUCCGUGACUGGUGUACUAGAAUGUUACCAUCUUGAUCUCUCUCUAUUUCCAGAGAUAGGUAGUUGUUUACCUCACCAAGAUCUUUCAUGUCAAAGUGCUCUUUCAGUUGAGCUAGGGCGUUAUUGUACAUUGCGACAUCUUUCCAAAAGAAUAACAAAUCAUCAACAUAAAACAAACAGUACAGUUUCUUUUGCACCUCCUCUUUGACAAAUACACAUGGAUCAGCUUUCCCUUGCUGAAAACCUAGAGAAAACAAUACUUCAGUGAGUUUUGUGUGCCAACACCGUGCACUUUGUUUGAGACCAUAAAGGGAUUUCUUCAGAGCACAAACAAAUCCCUGUUUAACCUGUACGCCAUCAGGUGGAAGCAUAUAAAGUGAUUCAUCUAGAGAUCCGUACAGAAAAGCUGUAUUAAUAUCAUGGUGACUAAUGUGUAGAUUUUCCUCUGCAGCUAGCUUGAGCAUAAGCCUAAUGCUUUCAUAUCUCACUGUGGGUGAAUAGGUCUCGUGAUAGUCUUGACCUGGUACCUGUGCAAAACCUCUGGCUACCAAUCUGGCUUUGUGUCUGACUAUCUUGCCAUUUUGAUCUGUCUUCGCUUUGAAGACCCAUUUGCUUCCAAGCAGUUUCAUUCCUGGAACUACUGGAACUAGCUCCCAUGUUUUGUUCCUUUCUAAGGAAUCAAGCUCAGCCUUCAUGGCAUUUAACCAUGGCUCAGCUUCCUUUGAAUCCAAACCCUGGAUUUCUUGGAAACUUGAAGGUUCAAAUACCUUCUUGGAGCUUUUAACAGCUGUUACUGCUAUCUUAGCAAACUCAUCAGCAAAUCUCUUUGGAGGUUUGCCUUUUGUGGCUCUCUGUGACCUACGAAUUAUCCUUAAGUCUUCAACACUCUCCUCUUCCUUCUUAGGAGAAAAACGACCUAUUGUGAACAAUGGUUCCUCCAAUUCUUGAUCAGAGCUUUCAGAGGGUCGCAUAGAGGCUUUCGCACUCUUGAAAUCCUCUGAAUCACCCGAUUCAGUUUCAGAUUCAGACUCAGAACCUUCAUCAGUGGGUGUGGGUUGUUGUGGUUGCUUUUGACUAUCCUCAGUCUCAUCACCGUCAUCAGGAUAACAUUGGAAAAUUCCCACAUUCUCCCCCACUUUGCAUUGUACUCAACACUUCUCGUGAGCUUAAUUGUCUUAGAGUCAGUCAUCAUUAUUCUGUAAGACCCUUUCUGAUAACCUAGAAAGAUACCAUGCAAUCCACGCUUGUCUAAUUUGGAGUUUUGUGGUGAGCGAACCCACAUGUCAGAACCAAAAAUCUUCAUGUGUUUGAUGUAUGGCUUCUUGCCAAACAUCUUCUCAUAGGGGGUACAACCAAUCGCUGAAGAUAAUCUGCGAUUGUAACUGUAAACAAAACACGAGAGAGAUUCGGCCCAAUAACUCUCUGGAAGAUUGGCAUCAUGCAGCAAGGUUUUUAAGCCUUGAAGCAAUGUCUGAUUUGCCCGUUCCGCAAGUCCAUUCUGCCAUGGCGAGCGAGGACUAGACAAAUCGUGUUGAAUUCCUUUCUCAGUCAGAAAAGCUUCAAACUGCUGAGAAGUGAAUUCCCCCCCGCGAUCACUGAAAAGAGUCUUUAUCUUCUUACCAUGCACAUUUUCCAACCAAGCACAGAAUUCCUUGAACCUAGGAAAAGCCUCCGAUUUCUGCUUGAGAUUGUACACAAAAAUAUAUCUAGAAAAUGCAUCAAUGAGAACCAUGAAGUAUCUAUUUCCACCCAAAGAGGGCGCAAGUGGUCCAACCAAAUCAGCAUGAACAACCUGGUAUGGUUCUGUAGCUUUCCUACUAGACACCUUACCUUUCGCAGCCAUUUUCACCUUGUUUGCUGCGCAUGCUUUGCACUUCAUGUGGUACCUGCAGGGUUUAAUAGUCAUACCUUCAACCAAGGCAGGCAUUUUAGAUACUGCCUCAAAAUGCAAAUGACCAAAUUUGCGAUGAAAAUCGUGAAUACAUUCUGCAUGCAAACUUUUGUUAGAACCUGCAAUGCAACAAGUGUCAUCCUGCACCACAUCAUCAUAAUACAAAACAAACAAAUGAUCAACAUAUUCUGCAUGCAAUACAUAAUCAUUUUUCUUUGUGAUGAUGCACUUCUUGUUCUUGAAGGAAACGUCAAUGUUCCGCUCAUUCAGCUGUCCAACGCUGAGCAGAUUAUGUUUGGCGUCUGGCACGUAAAGCACAUUCUGUAUCGAUAAGUCCAAACUGUGAAGAACAACAGUUCCGUAGCCUUUACUGGGAAUAGUGUGGUCAUCCGCCUGGUGAAUCGCACCUUCCUGCGGUGUAAAAGACACAAACAGUUUCUUAUCGUUGCACAUGUGGUGAGUGGCCGCUGAAUCAACAACGAAGAAAGAUCUAGACGUCUUCUGGACCUCUGCAACCUUUGGAGUGAAGCGUGAAACCAUAGCCUUGUGCUGCGUUGUCCUAGACACCGGACCUUUGCCUUUGCCUCGGCCUUUUCCGUGCGAUGAGCUUCGCUGCGCUGCUCUGUCUUGGCCCUGGGAUGUCUGCAUUCCCUCUUCAUAUGGCCUAGACGUCCACACGAGUAGCAUUUCACUGCCUUCAAAGCUUUGGCGCCAUCUGGUGGUUCCACUGCACUAUGGGAUGACGUCUGUGAAGACUCCCCCUUGCCCAUGCAGCUUGCACCCCGCCGAUCUGCUUCAUUUAAAAUCACGGCAGUAACAAAGUCCACUGUCAGCUGAGCAGUUGGUUGCACAGCAAUCUGGGUUGCAACAGACUCCCAACCUGAACCCAAAGAUUGUAGUAUCAUGAAAGAAUACACAGCCUCUGGAAAGUUGAGUCCUCUCUGUUGCAGCUCAUGUCUCAGAUUUUGCAUCUCCAUUAGAUGUAAACGCACAUCUCCACCUUCAGCAAGAGCCAUAUUAUGCAGCUUGUUAAAAUAAAACAUAGUGGAUCCAGCUUCUGUCCUUAAGUGAGCCUCUCUCAGAGCGUCCCAAAUUUCUCUGGCUGAGGUCUUAUCACGCAAUAGACAGAGCUCUUCUGGGGAUACUAUCAAUGUAAGAGUUCCCCUUGCUUUGGAAUCCUUAGCUUCCCAUGCAUCUGUAACUGGAACUGGGGGGGUUUCUGUAAUCACCUCAAACAAACCCUCUUUCCGCAGAAUUGCCUCUGCAUACUGAACCCAGUCGCUGUAAUUCUUCUUGUUGAGCUUAGGAAUCCCACAAGCAUCCUGAAGGGCCAUCAUGACUCUGGCAUUAGCCUUCAGCGUCAUAUGCUGCUUUAAAUCUUGCUGCGUCACUGCUGCAGCUGCCUCAUUACAAAGGCACACUUAAAAGUUACUUUCGAUUUCCCCAGCAUAGUGACUUGUGCCUGGGAGCCUUUUGCCUAUUUGCAAAACCGGCUUUAAAAGUUCAAAGUCCAGCCAUAAAGCCAUUAUCUUGAAGCUGGCAGGCUGCCCGGAGCAGUAGCACAUACCUCAUCAAUCACUUCUACGCGCAGAGCAGAUUCCGUUCCGAUCCGUCCCUCUGCAUUCCUUUGCCGGCACUCCGAUUCGACCUCUGGAGUCCAUAACCAUGUGUUGAAUUAAAGCAGAGUCUGUCGUGGCCAGCGGAAGGAUGAAGAAUACGUGCUACAUACUCUAUAUUGCUUUAUUUACAGUUCAAAGCUGGUAUAUUACAGAAAGACAUCUUGCCUCUGCAGGAGCAGAGAAAUGCAUCCUCUCUCCUCUCUCAGCUCGGAGAGAAUCACACAGUGAAAAAACAGGAAACCAGUGUACGUCACAUCCAGUCUCCCUUUCCCGUGAGAAACUCCAACAGUACAGACUGUGGAAUGCAAAACAAUGUCUUGUGACUGCAGUUGCUGCUCAGUGAGGGAAAUAGAAACCAACAGUUUCCACUUCUCU
Molecule: long non-coding RNA, 5015 nt
Filed under: Podarcis lilfordi (Lilford's wall lizard)
Lineage: Eukaryota; Metazoa; Chordata; Lepidosauria; Squamata; Lacertidae
Source: RNAcentral